AACGGGGCUUCGGCUCCGGCGCAAAGAGAGGCCCAAGUGAGAUUAGCUAGUUGGUAAGGUAACGGCUUACCAAGGCGACGAUCUCUAGCUGUUCUGAGAGGAAGAUCAGCCACACUGGGACUGAGACACGGCCCAGACUCCUACGGGAGGCAGCAGUGGGGAAUAUUGCACAAUGGGGGAAACCCUGAUGCAGCCAUGCCGCGUGUGUGAAGAAGGCCUUCGGGUUGUAAAGCACUUUCAGUUGUGAGGAAAAGUUAGUAGUUAAUACCUGCUAGCCGUGACGUUAACAACAGAAGAAGCACCGGCUAACUCCGUGCCAGCAGCCGCGGUAAUACGGAGGGUGCGAGCGUUAAUCGGAAUUACUGGGCGUAAAGCGCACGCAGGCGGUUUGUUAAGCUAGAUGUGAAAGCCCCGGGCUCAACCUGGGAUGGUCAUUUAGAACUGGCAGACUAGAGUCUUGGAGAGGGGAGUGGAAUUCCAGGUGUAGCGGUGAAAUGCGUAGAUAUCUGGAGGAACAUCAGUGGCGAAGGCGACUCCCUGGCCAAAGACUGACGCUCAUGUGCGAAAGUGUGGGUAGCGAACAGGAUUAGAUACCCUGGUAGUCCACACCGUAAACGCUGUCUACUAGCUGUGUGUGCCUUUAAGGCUGUGCGUAGCGAAGCUAACGCGAUAAGUAGACCGCCUGGGGAGUACGGCCGCAAGGUUAAAACUCAAAUGAAUUGACGGGGGCCCGCACAAGCGGUGGAGCAUGUGGUUUAAUUCGAUGCAACGCGAAGAACCUUACCUACACUUGACAUGCAGAGAACUUUCUAGAGAUAGAUUGGUGCCUUCGGGAACUCUGACACAGGUGCUGCAUGGCUGUCGUCAGCUCGUGUCGUGAGAUGUUGGGUUAAGUCCCGCACCGAGCGCAACCUUUGUCCUUAGUUGCCAGCAUUAAGUUGGGCAUUCUAAGGAGAUUGCCGGUGACAAACCGAAGGAAGGUGGGGACGACGUCAAGUCAUCAGGGCCCUUACUUGUAGGGCUACCACCUUGCUACAUUGGCAUUUACAGAGGGAACGGAACAAUGGAUUGGGACCGGACCCUUUAAGAAUGCCUAAUCCCGGAUUGGAG
Molecule: ribosomal RNA, 1110 nt
Filed under: uncultured Alteromonas sp.
Lineage: Bacteria; Pseudomonadati; Pseudomonadota; Gammaproteobacteria; Alteromonadales; Alteromonadaceae
Description: bacterial SSU rRNA
Rfam family: Bacterial small subunit ribosomal RNA
Source: RNAcentral